AGUGAACGCUGGCGGUAGGCCUAACACAUGCAAGUCGAACGGCAGCACAAGAGAGCUUGCUCUCUGGGUGGCGAGUGGCGGACGGGUGAGGAAUACAUCGGAAUCUACUCUGUCGUGGGGGAUAACGUAGGGAAGCUUACGCUAAUACCGCAUACGACCUACGGGUGAAAGCAGGGGACCUUCGGGCCUUGCGCGAUUGAAUGAGCCGAGGUCGGAUUAGCUAGUUGGCGGGGUAAAGGCCCACCAAGGCGACGAUCCGUAGCUGGUCUGAGAGGAUGAUCAGCCACACUGGAACUGAGACACGGUCCAGACUCCUACGGGAGGCAGCAGUGGGGAAUAUUGGACAAUGGGCGCAAGCCUGAUCCAGCCAUACCGCGUGGGUGAAGAAGGCCUUCGGGUUGUAAAGCCCUUUUGUUGGGAAAGAAAUCCAGCUGGCUAAUACCCGGUUGGGAUGACGGUACCCAAAGAAUAAGCACCGGCUAACUUCGUGCCAGCCGCCGCAGUAA
Molecule: ribosomal RNA, 506 nt
Filed under: uncultured bacterium
Lineage: Bacteria
Description: partial 16S ribosomal RNA
Rfam family: Bacterial small subunit ribosomal RNA
Source: RNAcentral